CGUAACCAGAGAGAUUUGGUGUUCCCUUCGGGGACCUGCGACACAGGUGCUGCAUGGCUGUCGUCAGCUCGUGUCGUGAGAUGUUGGGUUAAGUCCCGCAACGAGCGCAACCCACGUCCUUAGUUGCCAUCAUUGAGUUGGGCACUCUAGGGAGACUGCCGGUGAUAAGCCGCGAGGAAGGUGUGGAUGACGUCAAGUCCUCAUGGCCCUUACGGGAUGGGCUACACACGUGCUACAAUGGCGGUGACAGUGGGAUGCGAGCCUGCGAAGGUGAGCAAAUCCCCAAAAGCCGUCUCAGUUCGGAUUGCACUCUGCAACUCGGGUGCAUGAAGGCGGAAUCGCUAGUAAUCGUGGAUCAGCAUGCCACGGUGAAUACGUUCCCGGGCCUUGUACACACCGCCCGUCACACCAUGGGAGUUGGUCUUACCCGACGGCGCUGCGCCAACCCGCGAGGGGAGCAGGCGACCACGGUAGGGUCAGCGACUGGGGUGAAGUCGUAACAAGGUAAGCGUAGUGCU
RNAcentral lists this ribosomal RNA (518 nucleotides) under uncultured bacterium. RNAcentral describes it as "bacterial SSU rRNA". It matches the Rfam family "Bacterial small subunit ribosomal RNA", at positions 994 to 1509 of the family's 1533-position model. The record is from RNAcentral.